AUUCAUUUAUUUAAUUUUUUAAAAUAUAAAAUUAAAUUUUUUAAUUUAUUUGAUUUGAAUUAGUCAAAGAUAUUUAAAUUUUAAAAUUUAAGUUAAUUACUUAUUUUAAUAAUAUUUAUAGUUUUGAAAAUUAUAUGAUGUUUAUAUAAUUAAAUAAAUUAAAAGAUUGAAUAGUAAAAUCAUUAUUUUUGAGAGAUUG
Molecule: long non-coding RNA, 199 nt
Filed under: Ananas comosus (pineapple)
Lineage: Eukaryota; Viridiplantae; Streptophyta; Magnoliopsida; Poales; Bromeliaceae
Description: long non-coding RNA (ACOM_LNC024943)
Source: RNAcentral